GCGGUAAUACCGGCAGAACCACUCGCGCCCAUGAAUAUUGGUUUUAAAGAGGCCGUAAGAGGCCUUUUAAGUCCUCUCUGAAAUCUUGGGGCUCAACCUCAAGGCGUUCAGUAGAUUUUGUCACGCUCGAGACCCGGGGAGGUCAGGGGUACUUUCUCAGUAUCAGUAAAAUCAGUUGAUCUUUUAAGGACCACCAGUGGGGAAGGCGCGUGACCAAAACACGUCUACCACUAAGGGAUGAAGGGCAGGAGAACAAAUGGGAUUAGAUACCCGAGUACCCCUAGCAGUAAAUCACGCAGACUUUGGUGUUGCUUGGCUUCGGUUCCCGGCAGUGCUGUAGCGUAGGUGUUAAGUUAUCCCCCUGGGGAGUACGGCCUCAAGGUCAAACUUAAAGGAA
Molecule: ribosomal RNA, 397 nt
Filed under: uncultured archaeon
Lineage: Archaea
Description: bacterial SSU rRNA
Rfam family: Archaeal small subunit ribosomal RNA
Source: RNAcentral